CUUGACUUUUGAGUCAAAGCUGAGACCAUGACUCAAAAUUGAGAACACACGAAGCUGGCACAUGAUCCACAAAGUGUAAGGAAAAAGAGAAUCAGGAUGAAGUAUUCUGCCCUCCCUCAAGCAGAUUUCCAAGAUUUUAAACAUGUAGAGAAUUCAUAAAAAUUUGGGUGAGAGCAUGGUGGCUGUCAGCAGCAAAUUAAAUUAGUCCCCCAAAAGAUGAGUCAGUUGAGCAGAAAUUUGUUGUGUGAGGAUGGUGGUUCUCUUGGAACUUGAUUAGCAGCAAGAAGGCUGGCAGCAGCUGUACACACAGGUGGGCUGGAAACAAGUGGUCCUGCAGCAGGUGGUCUCACAGCAGGCUGGGCGGCAGCAGGGCUGGCAGCAGUUGGAGCCACAGCUCUGGUU
RNAcentral lists this long non-coding RNA (402 nucleotides) under Homo sapiens (human). RNAcentral's name for it is "HSALNT0389787". Lineage: Eukaryota; Metazoa; Chordata; Mammalia; Primates; Hominidae. The record is from RNAcentral.